Molecule: ribosomal RNA, 253 nt
Filed under: uncultured bacterium
Lineage: Bacteria
Description: partial 16S ribosomal RNA
Rfam family: Bacterial small subunit ribosomal RNA
Source: RNAcentral
UACGGAGGGUGCGAGCGUUGUCCGGAAUCAUUGGGCGUAAAGGGCGCGUAGGUGGCGGGACAAGCGUGCGGUGAAAGCUCGGGGCUCAACCCCGCGUCGGCCGUGCGAACUGUUUUGCUUGAGCACUGUAGAGGCAGGCGGAAUUCCGGGUGUAGCGGUGGAAUGCGUAGAGAUCCGGAAGAACACCGGUGGCGAAGGCGGCCUGCUGGGCAGUAGCUGACACUGAGACGCGACAGCGUGGGGAGCAAACAGG